AGUUUGAUCCUGGCUCAGGAUGAACGCUGGCGGUCUGCUUAACACAUGCAAGUCGAACGGAGUGCUUCGGCACUUAGUGGCGGACGGGUGAGUAACGCGUGAGAAUCUGCCCUUAGGACGGGGACAACAGCUGGAAACGGCUGCUAAUACCCGAUGUGCCGAGAGGUGAAACAUUUUAUGGCCUGAGGAUGAGCUCGCGUCUGAUUAGCUAGUUGGUGGGGUAAGAGCCUACCAAGGCGACGAUCAGUAGCUGGUCUGAGAGGAUGAUCAGCCACACUGGGACUGAGACACGGCCCAGACUCCUACGGGAGGCAGCAGUGGGGAAUUUUCCGCAAUGGGCGCAAGCCUGACGGAGCAAGACCGCGUGCGGGAGGACGGCCUAUUGGUUGUAAACCGCUUUUGAUAGGGAAGAAGUACUGACGGUACCUAUCGAAUCAGCAUCGGCUAACUCCGUGCCAGCAGCCGCGGUAAUACGGAGGAUGCAAGCGUUAUCCGGAAUUAUUGGGCGUAAAGCGUCCGUAGGUGGUUGUUCAAGUCUGCUGUUAAAGCGUGCGGCUUAACCGCAUACCAGCAGUGGAAACUGGGCGACUAGAGUGCGGUAGGGGUCAGGGGAAUUCCCAGUGUAGCGGUGAAAUGCGUAGAUAUUGGGAAGAACACCGGUGGCGAAAGCGCCUGACUGGACCUGCACUGACACUGAGGGACGAAAGCUAGGGGAGCGAAAGGGAUUAGAUACCCCUGUAGUCCUAGCCGUAAACGAUGGACACUAGGUGUUGCCCGUAUCGACCCGGGCAGUGCCGUAGCCAACGCGUUAAGUGUCCCGCCUGGGGAGUACGCUCGCAAGAGUGAAACUCAAAGGAAUUGANNGGGCCCGCACAGCGGUGGAGUAUGUGGUUUAUUCGAUGCACGCGAGA
RNAcentral lists this ribosomal RNA (911 nucleotides) under uncultured bacterium. RNAcentral describes it as "bacterial SSU rRNA". It matches the Rfam family "Bacterial small subunit ribosomal RNA", at positions 10 to 966 of the family's 1533-position model. The record is from RNAcentral.